CGGGAAACCGGAGCUAAUACCGGAUAAUAUUUCGAACCGCAUGGUUCGAUAGUGAAAGGUGGUUUUGCUAUCACUUAUAGAUGGACCCGCGCCGUAUUAGCUAGUUGGUAAGGUAACGGCUUACCAAGGCGACGAUACGUAGCCGACCUGAGAGGGUGAUCCGGCCACACUGGAACUUGAGACACGGUCCAGACUCCUACGGGAGGCAGCAGCA
RNAcentral lists this ribosomal RNA (214 nucleotides) under uncultured Staphylococcus sp. Its description in RNAcentral is "partial 16S ribosomal RNA". It matches the Rfam family "Bacterial small subunit ribosomal RNA", at positions 150 to 355 of the family's 1533-position model. The record is from RNAcentral. Lineage: Bacteria; Bacillati; Bacillota; Bacilli; Caryophanales; Staphylococcaceae.